RNAcentral lists this ribosomal RNA (1439 nucleotides) under Citrobacter freundii. Its description in RNAcentral is "partial 23S ribosomal RNA". It matches the Rfam family "Bacterial large subunit ribosomal RNA", at positions 1 to 1477 of the family's 2925-position model. Lineage: Bacteria; Pseudomonadati; Pseudomonadota; Gammaproteobacteria; Enterobacterales; Enterobacteriaceae. The record is from RNAcentral.
GGGUUGUGAGGUUAAGCGACUAAGCGUACACGGUGGAUGCCCUGGCAGUCAGAGGCGAUGAAGGACGUGCUAAUCUGCGAUAAGCGUCGGUAAGGUGAUAUGAACCGUUAUAACCGGCGAUUUCCGAAUGGGGAAACCCAGUGUGAUUCGUCACACUAUCAUUACGUGAAUACAUAGCGUAAUGAAGCGAACCGGGGGAACUGAAACAUCUAAGUACCCCGAGGAAAAGAAAUCAACCGAGAUUCCCCCAGUAGCGGCGAGCGAACGGGGAGCAGCCCAGAGUCUGAAUCAGCUUGUGUGUUAGUGGAACGGUCUGGAAAGUCCGACGGUACAGGGUGAUAGUCCCGUACACCAAAAUGCACAGGUUGUGAACUCGAAGAGUAGGGCGGGACACGUGGUAUCCUGUCUGAAUAUGGGGGGACCAUCCUCCAAGGCUAAAUACUCCUGACUGACCGAUAGUGAACCAGUACCGUGAGGGAAAGGCGAAAAGAACCCCGGCGAGGGGAGUGAAAAAGAACCUGAAACCGUGUACGUACAAGCAGUGGGAGCCUCUUUAUGGGGUGACUGCGUACCUUUUGUAUAAUGGGUCAGCGACUUAUAUUCUGUAGCAAGGUUAACCGUAUAGGGGAGCCGAAGGGAAACCGAGUCUUAACUGGGCGUUAAGUUGCAGGGUAUAGACCCGAAACCCGGUGAUCUAGCCAUGGGCAGGUUGAAGGUUGGGUAACACUAACUGGAGGACCGAACCGACUAAUGUUGAAAAAUUAGCGGAUGACUUGUGGCUGGGGGUGAAAGGCCAAUCAAACCGGGAGAUAGCUGGUUCUCCCCGAAAGCUAUUUAGGUAGCGCCUCGUGAAUUCAUCUUCGGGGGUAGAGCACUGUUUCGGCUAGGGGGUCAUCCCGACUUACCAACCCGAUGCAAACUGCGAAUACCGAAGAAUGUUAUCACGGGAGACACACGGCGGGUGCUAACGUCCGUCGUGAAGAGGGAAACAACCCAGACCGCCAGCUAAGGUCCCAAAGUCAUGGUUAAGUGGGAAACGAUGUGGGAAGGCACAGACAGCCAGGAUGUUGGCUUAGAAGCAGCCAUCAUUUAAAGAAAGCGUAAUAGCUCACUGGUCGAGUCGGCCUGCGCGGAAGAUGUAACGGGGCUAAACCAUGCACCGAAGCUGCGGCAGCGACACUAUGUGUUGUUGGGUAGGGGAGCGUUCUGUAAGCCGUUGAAGGUGUGCUGUGAGGCAUGCUGGAGGUAUCAGAAGUGCGAAUGCUGACAUAAGUAACGAUAAUGCGGGUGAAAAACCCGCACGCCGGAAGACCAAGGGUUCCUGUCCAACGUUAAUCGGGGCAGGGUGAGUCGACCCCUAAGGCGAGGCCGAAAGGCGUAGUCGAUGGGAAACAGGUUAAUAUUCCUGUACUUGGUGUUACUGCGAAGGGGGGACGGAG